Molecule: non-coding RNA, 1776 nt
Organism: Odocoileus virginianus texanus
Lineage: Eukaryota; Metazoa; Chordata; Mammalia; Artiodactyla; Cervidae
Source: RefSeq, a predicted model, not a curated record
AGAACCAGAGCUCCCCACGGGCGACCCCUCCAGGAGUGGACCUCGGCUGCCUGUCCCGCUCCGUCCACAGUGUGGGAGAAGAAUCUAGGGACGGUGUGGUUAAUCAUAGCAGCCUCUGUCUCCACCAUGCAGACCGCUGAGCACCGCCCAAACCCUUCCGGCGUCCUCCAGCGUGGUGCCUGAUCCUUAGCGCUGCGCAGGCCCGGAACCCGGAACUGAGCGACAGUCUCAUGUCCCAGGAAAUGGCUGGUCAAGAAGGAGGACCCAGAAGAAAAGUCAGUGUUAAGCAGAAGAGAUGGCAGGAAGAUGCAGAGAUGUUUCCAGGUAGCUGACCCUGCCUGGGUGAAGGGGCAAGGGUUGCCUGAACAGACCCUAAGGCCCAGGAAGACAGAGAGUGUCUUGGUCUUGUUCACCUCUGUGCCCUGAACUUCCAAGAGCAGUUGCAUUUGAUGACUUUGCUCAGCCUCCACCCACAGCAGUCACUUAAAUAAAAGCUCCUUGCUCGAAGUGUGGUCCAUGAGCUGGAACCCCAUCCCAGACCUAUGGCUCAGAACCUGCAUCUCAACAAGUUUUCUGUCCCAUGAGUAUUACCUUUUGAGAAGACCUGUUUUAAAGGACAGCCUAGGUUGACUAUAAAAUCAAUUAGCACUGAGGCUUCCUUGCCCACCUAGAAAAUGUAUCUUUCAUCUUUGAAUCCCCUGCUCAGGUGUUCUUUGUACGAGAAACUUCCCGGACAUCUCUCCUGUUGCCAUCACUCCGUCUGUCAGUCUGCGCUAUGCUCGCCCUUCUGUUGAGACAUUUAUCACACAGCGACUCAGUUUGGUUUCCCUGCCUGUGUUGCCUACCAGAUGGGUUAGCCAGACUGAAGUCCUUGAGACGAGAGAAGGAAUCUUAUUUUUCUUUGCAUCCCAGGCUCAGUUCACACUGAACUAAUGAAUGAUUUGCCUGGUGUGUGCUGGCCUGUGGGCUCUCCCUUAAUCCCAAACUUCACCAAGAGAAGUUUUCCCGCCUUCCUUCCUUCUUUCCUUCCAAUGGAAAUGCAGAAACUCAAGAAAUAUUCCUUUUGGUGGCCCAGCCUACCAAAAUUACUUUUGUACUAUCAUAAUUAGGUAGAACAUAUCUUCAAAAUGAAUAAGCAAAUUCCCAAAGCGAUUCCUCAAAAGACGGCAGUAAAGAAUGCCAUGGCAUUUUCAGGGGCUUCAUGAUUUCGUAGCCUCUUCCAGGUAGCGAGGAGACUGGCCACUUAAUCCUUCCAGUAGUAACGUGUCCUCAUCCAUGUGAACCUCUGAGGAAGUGAUGACAAAAUCUAGGGAUUCAAAUAGAACAGGAUGUGUGUGACAUCAGGCUUGGUGUUUAUGCCGCAGUCCUUACACAGAUCGGCAUCAUGCACUGGGCCUAUGAGCUCCUUGAAGACACCAGCUCUGCCUUGGACAUCUGAGUGUGCCUUGGCACUUGACGUAGCAUCCAGCUCAGAAGAGACUCACAGAGACGCUCAUUCCAUUGAACACAGGUGUCACAGGGUUCCAAGUCCAACUCUCUGUGUGCCCCAAGCAAAGCACACAACCUACGCUAGAUCGUUGUCUCUGUUACAAAGCCAUGCAGUUAAAACAGCUACAUCAUCUCUGAAAUCACAUAGACCUCAGAAACUAGAAGAACUACAGCCAUCUUCUUUGAUUUGCUCACUUCUGUCUGAAGUGCCAGUGAAAUUGCCGAUAAUUCAUGUGAAUUAGUAAGAUGUUAUCAUUUUGUUAACUAAAGUAUAAAAUGAUCACUAAA